This 195-nucleotide ribosomal RNA is filed under the name uncultured Rhodocyclaceae bacterium. RNAcentral's name for it is "partial 16S ribosomal RNA". It matches the Rfam family "Bacterial small subunit ribosomal RNA", at positions 338 to 525 of the family's 1533-position model. The record is from RNAcentral. Lineage: Bacteria; Pseudomonadati; Pseudomonadota; Betaproteobacteria; Rhodocyclales; Rhodocyclaceae.
CCUACGGGAGGCAGCAGUGGGGAAUUUUGGACAAUGGGGGCAACCCUGAUCCAGCCAUUCCGCGUGAGUGAAGAAGGCCUUCGGGUUGUAAAGCUCUUUCAGCAGGAACGAAACGGUGGUCCCUAAUACGGGCUACUAAUGACGGUACCUGAAGAAGAAGCACCGGCUAACUACGUGCCAGCAGCCGCGGUAAUA